UGUGUAGGCGGUCCUCCAAGUCUGGUGUGAAAUCUCCCGGCUCAACCGGGAGGGUGCGCCGGAAACUGGGGGCUUUGAGUGCGGGAGAGGAGAGUGGAAUUCCUGGUGUAGCGGUGAAAUGCGUAGAUAUCAGGAGGAACACCGGCGGUGUAGGCGGCUCUCUGGACCGUAACUGACGCUGAGACACGAAAGCGUGGGGAGCAAACA
RNAcentral lists this ribosomal RNA (207 nucleotides) under uncultured Acidobacteriota bacterium. RNAcentral describes it as "uncultured Acidobacteria bacterium partial 16S ribosomal RNA". It matches the Rfam family "Bacterial small subunit ribosomal RNA", at positions 568 to 774 of the family's 1533-position model. Lineage: Bacteria; Pseudomonadati; Acidobacteriota. The record is from RNAcentral.